UUUUUCGGAGAGUUUGAUCCUGGCUCAGGACGAACGCUGGCGGCGUGCCUAAUACAUGCAAGUCGAGCGGACAGAAGGGAGCUUGCUCCCGGAUGUUAGCGGCGGACGGGUGAGUAACACGUGGGUAACCUGCCUGUAAGACUGGGAUAACUCCGGGAAACCGGAGCUAAUACCGGAUAGUUCCUUGAACCGCAUGGUUCAAGGAUGAAAGACGGUUUCGGCUGUCACUUACAGAUGGACCCGCGGCGCAUUAGCUAGUUGGUGGGGUAAUGGCUCACCAAGGCGACGAUGCGUAGCCGACCUGAGAGGGUGAUCGGCCACACUGGGACUGAGACACGGCCCAGACUCCU
Molecule: ribosomal RNA, 350 nt
Filed under: Bacillus pumilus
Lineage: Bacteria; Bacillati; Bacillota; Bacilli; Caryophanales; Bacillaceae
Description: bacterial SSU rRNA
Rfam family: Bacterial small subunit ribosomal RNA
Source: RNAcentral